GCAAACUUGGUCAUUUAGAGGAAGUAAAAGUCGUAACAAGGUAACCGUAGGUGAACCUGCGGUUGGAUCAUUACUAAGAUCUCAACCCGACGUCUCGUGUUUCUCUCUCUUUUUUUCCCGUUAACCUGGGAUUGAGGGGAGGGAGGCCGGACAUCGACACACCACAUGUGAACCGAAAGGAAAAAGGGGGAAGACUCUUUGGGUCUCUCUCUCUCUCUCCUUUUGAACCCCUGUUUUUAUUGUUUCAAACGUCUUACAAAACAACAAAUAUGAGAAAUGAGAGAAACAACUUUAGACAACGGAUCUCUUGGCUCUCGCAUCGAUGAAGAACGCAGC
Molecule: unclassified non-coding RNA, 336 nt
Filed under: uncultured fungus
Lineage: Eukaryota; Fungi
Description: partial contains small subunit ribosomal RNA, internal transcribed spacer 1, and 5.8S ribosomal RNA
Rfam family: Eukaryotic small subunit ribosomal RNA (bases 1-73)
Source: RNAcentral